This 430-nucleotide ribosomal RNA is filed under the name Pseudomonadota bacterium. Its description in RNAcentral is "Proteobacteria bacterium partial 16S ribosomal RNA". It matches the Rfam family "Bacterial small subunit ribosomal RNA", at positions 355 to 776 of the family's 1533-position model. Lineage: Bacteria; Pseudomonadati; Pseudomonadota. The record is from RNAcentral.
UGGGGAAUAUUGGACAAUGGGGGGAACCCUGAUCCAGCCAUGCCGCGUGUGUGAAGAAGGCCUUAUGGUUGUAAAGCACUUUAAGCGAGGAGGAGGGUACUGGUAUUAAUACUACCAGGUACUGGACGUUACUCGCAGAAUAAGCACUGGCUAACUCUGUGCCAGCAGCCGCGGUAAUACAGAGGGUGCGAGCGUUAAUCGGAUUUACUGGGCGUAAAGCGUGCGUAGGCGGCUAAUUGAGUCGGAUGUGAAAUCCCCGAGCUUAACUUGGGAAUUGCAUUCGAUACUGGUUAGCUGGAGUGUGUGAGAGGAUGGUAGAAUUCCAGGUGUAACGGUGAAAUGCGUAGAAAUCUGGAAGAAUACCGAUGGCGAAGGCAGCCAUCUGGCCAAACAAUGACGCUGAGGUACGAAAGCAUGGGGAGCAAACAGG